AGCAUAUUUCGCCCAAGCGGAGCUCGACCGCCUACCGAAGCGAUAGUCGCCUUCAUAGACGCAUAUCGCGAAGUCCUGGGAGUCGAGCCGAUCUGUAAAGAAAUACUGAUCGCUCCC
This 117-nucleotide non-coding RNA is filed under the name uncultured Spirochaetota bacterium. RNAcentral describes it as "uncultured Spirochaetes bacterium ALIL". It matches the Rfam family "ALIL pseudoknot". Lineage: Bacteria; Pseudomonadati; Spirochaetota. The record is from RNAcentral.